CCUGUCGGUGGCCCGGCGCGCGGGCGUGCGCCUCACCGGCGCGGAGGCCGACAGGUUCGUCGCCGAGUGGCGGGCC
RNAcentral lists this transfer RNA (76 nucleotides) under Microtetraspora sp. NBRC 13810. Its description in RNAcentral is "tRNA-Val". Lineage: Bacteria; Bacillati; Actinomycetota; Actinomycetes; Streptosporangiales; Streptosporangiaceae. The record is from RNAcentral.